RNAcentral lists this long non-coding RNA (2409 nucleotides) under Ficedula albicollis (Collared flycatcher). RNAcentral's name for it is "lncRNA (ENSFALG00000018362.2)". Lineage: Eukaryota; Metazoa; Chordata; Aves; Passeriformes; Muscicapidae. The record is from RNAcentral.
UUUUGAAAGCAAGUGGCUGUGACUUUCCUCCAGCCAGGGUCCACCACAGUGGACUCAGAGUCUCAGAGUCAUCUUGGGAGCCCUGAAGUGCCUGAGUGCCAGAGCUGAUUUCUUCAGCCCAAUUGAAGCUGGUUGCUGACCUUGGUAUGGCCAAGAUUUGCUUUCACCUCUUGUCUGGCUCAAAGGUGGACCCCAUGAACUUCCCUGGGGACAGGAGACCUGAGUAUGGUGGGGUUCAUUUUUCCUCCUGAGCUUGCCUUAGCCCAAGGUCCAGUAGAUGCUGAGCCAUAAUCUUCUGCCUCACAAAGAGCUGGUUACUCCCAGAAAUCAGUUUCCCUUUGCUUCCUGCAUUGCUGCAUCAAUGCAAAGCAUCUAUAAAUCAUCUCCACAAAUGACCAAAGCCGCCUGGUCUUCAUCCGAGGUGAAACAGAGGUUUGGGGGUCCAGGUUAGAACUGUGUGACAGAUUUGGGACCCUCAACCUCUGCCCACCUCUUGCCUGGAGCAGCCCCCUGGCCCUUGUCUCUGCCCUGCACCUGGGCUCAGCUUCCCUCCGAGAAGCAAGACCAGCAUGGCUUCACGUUGUAAUGUGAGAGGGUUCUUGAGGACACAGAGCUCUCUGUGCUGCCAGAAUUACUGCAUGUGCUCCUCCAGAUGUUGAAGAAUAUUCCCUCCCAUCCCAAGUUACCCUGGGUAUUAUAUUUCCCUGGCUUGACAUUGUUAUGAAAUGUCAGAGCUUUGCAACUUGUCUGACUCUCUUUUGCAAUGUCCCCAAGGGAACAGAACAGCUUCCAAAGCACUGGAGCCCUACGGACUCGCACCAUCUUUCCCUCCGGAAGAACCUCAACAUCUCUGCGAGACAGGUCCCUAAGGCACCAUGUUGCACACAGUCCAGCUCUCCUGUUGCCAGGGUUCCAGCUGCCAGACAGUGGCAAAAGAAGGGUAAUUGAUACCAGUGUGGCAUUUUGGGGUCUUUUUCCUCCCUCUACAGAGGAAGUCUCUGCUUCUUGUCUCAUCUGGCAUGAAGAUACAGAUCUGAAAUUGGCCUGAUUCUGGCCUCUGUUGCUGGUGGCAGUGGGGAUCUUGAACUGCCAGCGUGGACCUUGCCACACUGAGCUGCAUCCAAGUGCUUUGAAGGGACUUCCAGUGGGGAUCUUGAACUGCCGGCGUGGACCUUGCCACACUGAGCUGCAUCCAAGUGCUUUGAAGGGACUUUUGCAGUGGACAACACCAGAAAGGAGGCUAAAAGAACCCCAGCUGUUGAGGGUAGUGCUCCUGGGAGGGGAUAGACUGGCCUCAUAGGAAAUGGAGACAUAAAGGAGACACUGUCCUGCUGCAGGCACUUGCCAGCACCCAGCUGCUGUCCCUCUUCUGCAGAGCUUCAAGAAACUCCUCUAAAUGGUUUUGGCUACACCAAAAAAAAGGUGUUUAAAAUGAAAAAUGUAACAGGAAUGAUAAUGCUAGUCUGAAAAAUGGGAAGGUAAUAAAAAACUCUUAAGUUUUCUUGUCUGCCUCAGGUUUGUGGGGCUGAGGAAUCACAGAAUCAUAGAAUGGCCUUAAAAAUCACCUAGUUCCAAUCUCCUUGCCAUGGGUGGGUAUGAAUGGGGAUGUGGUAGUGGUCCUGCUUGCCUGACCCUGCCCAGCUGAGCUCCCACACCCCAGCUCAGCUCCAGGGGCAGCUGCAGGUGUUUGUACCUCACAGUGCCUCUGUCUCCAGGAAAAAACUCUGCUGGUCAAGGUCUUUCUGCCUUGCUAAAGACUUCAUACCCUGGGGGUUUUAAAGAGUGGUUUGUACCAUAGAGGAAAUCCCACAAGUGAGACCUCCUUGCAAAGCCUGGACCCUGUGCCAAGAUCCACGGGCUCAAUUUUGGCCAGAGAUGUUUUAGAAAAGUCACAGAGGAAAGUCCAAAGGAAGUAUUGAAAUGUCUGCAUGGCCUCUUCUCCUUGCAGCAGAGCAGAUUUGUGGGGACCUGCUGCCCGCCCUGCUCUGAGCAUCACCCACUGCAUUGCCUGGCUUGGAUGUCACACCCCACCUGCUCACUUCCAUGAGCCCUGCACCCUCCAGCCCAUGGCUUCCUCCUCACUCCUUGUUAGGACUGCAAAGGAAGCAAAUAAAACACAACACUGGCCUUUUCAUGCCACAGACCUUUCCCAGCUUUGACAUAAAUUCAUGAGCUGUAACAGGCACAUGCUGAAGCCUUGGGUUUGAUUAAAUGUCUUUCUCUUUGCCAAGGCCACCAGCAGGUUUGUGCUUGGUGUUUGGGAUGCAAAGCAUUUUUAUACAAAGGGGAUUUGGACCCUCAUGGCUGUGGGCUGUGUGCACAUGUGUGUGUGGGGAUGAUGGAGCAGCACGCUGAGCAAUGCCUGGCUGUGCACAGGGGUCCCUGGUGGUCCUGCUGGGCUGCACAGGG